GACGAACCGCGCAAACGUUAUUCGGAAUCACUGGGCUUAAAGGGCGCGUAGGCGGGGCAUCAAGUCAGGGGUGAAAGCCUCCAGCUCAACUGGAGAAGUGCCUUUGAUACUGAUGGUCUCGAGGGAGGUAGGGGCGUGCGGAACUUCCGGUGGAGCGGUGAAAUGCGUAGAUAUCGGAAGGAACACCGGUGGCGAAAGCGGCGCGCUGGACCUCUUCUGACGCUGAGGCGCGAAAGCCAGGGGAGCGAACGGG
This 253-nucleotide ribosomal RNA is filed under the name uncultured bacterium. RNAcentral describes it as "partial 16S ribosomal RNA". It matches the Rfam family "Bacterial small subunit ribosomal RNA", at positions 524 to 776 of the family's 1533-position model. The record is from RNAcentral.